RNAcentral lists this long non-coding RNA (2326 nucleotides) under Capsicum annuum. RNAcentral describes it as "long non-coding RNA (CANN_LNC010450)". The record is from RNAcentral. Lineage: Eukaryota; Viridiplantae; Streptophyta; Magnoliopsida; Solanales; Solanaceae.
AUUUAUCAAACAAUUGUAAAAAGAUGUGAAAAUUAUGCUUCGUGCCCUUUAACUAACAAAAAGCCUGAAGACGUUAAUUUUAGGCACGGAGAGCAAAAAUGGGUGUCAACAGUUGCCCCUUUUCAUUUGAGGACGAUGUAGAAGUCUUCAAAUGAAAAUGUUGACGUGUAGCCAAUUUUGCUCGACAAAAAUGAUUUGAAGAAAAUUCGAUCGAACUCCAAUUUAAAGUUACCUACUUACUCGAGUUGUAUGAGGAUCAGAUCAAUGUAGUUCAAAAAAUGUAAGCAAAUCGCUCUGUUGUUAAGGGUGAGAGAUCAUGCGAAAUGAUUAUUGGGAGAAGGACUAAUUGGAAACAAAAAUGGUCAUCUAUUUUUGAUGCUCCUUUCAAAAUUGCCCCUGUGAGAUGUUGGAGACGCAAGAUAGUGUACUUGCUGGGGAGAAAGAAUGAUUACGGUUGUGACGAUCAAACUCUGAACAGAGCUUUCUAAAUAUCUCGAGUGUUACGAGAAUCAGGUCAUUGUAAUUCGAAUCAUAGCAAUAUCAAAAUUUGCCUCAGUGUAGAGUUAUGGUGACACUGGGUUCCUUCAAGGAUGACAACAAAGAUUUUAACACGAAUGGAAUGAAUACGGGUGCUUGUUUCAAAAUUGACUAUUUGGGUAGCUGGAAAUGAGUAGAUGUCGGAUAGCACUAUUUGCUGGGGACUUUGAUGGAAAAAGAGAUUGCGAAUUUUCAAAGAUUGCCCCACUAUAGGAUUAAGAAGACAUUGAGUAAUGAUAAUAAGGAUUAUAAAAAUGAGAGUUUUGGGUCGAGUUGAGUUUAGUUUUUUCGUCGAAAUUCCUGACGUAACUAGGGAUCACUAACAUUCUGCUAGCUUCCCCCAGUUUGCUGCUAAGAGGAUAGUUCCACGUUGUACUGCAUGUUCUAGUAUUGUCUCUGUUUUUUAAGGCAAUCCGCCUGGCGGGGUGAUAACUGAAAUGUAAAUAGCCUCCGUCAACUGAGCAGUAAUUGAAAUGUAAAUAGCCUCCGUCGGCUGAGCAGUUGAUGAAAUAUAAAUAGCCUUCGUCGGCUGAGAAAUUGCUGAAAUGUAAAUAGCCUUUGUUGGUUGAAAUGUAAAUAGCCUCCGCCGGCUGAAAUGUAAAUAGCCUUCGUCGGCUGAAAUGUAAAUAGCCUCCGCCGACUGAAAUGUAAAUAACCUCCGCCGGCUGAAAUGCUUGUUGAUGAAGUGAAAGUUGCAUUAUAUGCCCUAUUGUUGGGGGCGGGCGUGCCCUGUCCUAUUGUUCGGGGCGGACUUGCCCUGUCCUAUUGUUCGGGGCGGACUGCCCUGUGUUAUGUUAGAGUUUUAUGAACAUCUGUUAGUACUUGAUGACCGAGUCUUAAUGGGGAUAUCCCUUUAAUGCGACAUCAAGAAAUUUCUUUUAGAGUUGGAAAGUAUUAGCGAAUGAAUUGAUAAAACCUGUCUUCCUGGCUUGUGAUAGAGAUGUGAUGUUGAGUUUCUGAUGGAAUGUUGUAAGAUACUUGACACGUGCCUCCUUGAGCAUUAUUAUGACCUGCAAGAUUCGAGAAGAUUCUUUAGUGUCUUGGAAUAAUUAUGGAUAAAUUGAUGACACCUGGAUUCUCAGCUUGUGAUGGUGAGGUAAGCUUUCAAGAUGUUUGAACCUUUAUUGUAGCGAUGUUGUACCUGCGCUCAAAUAAAGUUUCUUAGUUUGGGGAGGGGAUGUUGAUUUUGUGUUGAUCAAGAACUCGGCCUAGCAGCUAUCUCGUCCUUCAAUCUUUCGACAAUCGGUAAUCUAUUCGAGAUUAGGAGUAGUGACACUUCCUAACUCCACAUAAUCUGCUUAUACUAGUAUGUCUUCUGGUGGGAACUUUCUUCAUCUUGAUCUUCGCUUUCGGGCUUCCAUCAAAGUGAUGUGGUUGUUGUGGCUUGAGAUGAUAAAUGAAUUUGAAAAGAUGUAAAAGAUUAUGUUGUUGAUAUGAUCGAGCUUGACUUAAGCUGCCUACAUAUCAAGUCAAAACGUAGUUUCGUGUGAGGGGAAUCAAGAAAAAUUUGGCCACAAGGGUGGGUAUGUGGAGAAUGGUAAGGUUGAUAAUCAUGAGCUUGCUUUGGAAACCAUGUAGAGAAAUUGAGAUGCAAAUCAUGAGAUAGUAUCUUUUAACAAUAUUUGUAAAGAAGAUCUUUGGUUAAGUGGUGAAAGUAUCUUCUGUAUUGACCCUUGGUGCAUUUUUCUCGAUGUUGUAGUCAAUUCAUCCCCCGUUGAUGUCUUGUAGCUCUAAUGAUGUCUUGCAUUAUCUGGUACAAAUCAACCUUGAUUGUAACAUUUCCAAGUUG